AUUGAACGCUAGCGGGAUGCUUUACACAUGCAAGUCGAACGGCAGCGCGGACUUCGGUCUGGCGGCGAGUGGCGAACGGGUGAGUAAUGUAUCGGAACGUGCCCAGUAGCGGGGGAUAACUACGCGAAAGCGUAGCUAAUACCGCAUACGCCCUACGGGGGAAAGCAGGGGAUCGUAAGACCUUGCACUAUUGGAGCGGCCGAUAUCGGAUUAGCUAGUUGGUGAGGUAACGGCUUACCAAGGCGACGAUCCGUAGCUGGUUUGAGAGGACGACCAGCCACACUGGAACUGAGACACGGCCCAGACUCCUACGGGAGGCAGCAGUGGGGAAUUUUGGACAAUGGGGGCAACCCUGAUCCAGCCAUCCCGCGUGUGCGAUGAAGGCCUUCGGGUUGUAAAGCACUGUUGGCAGGAAAGAAACGUCGCGGGCUAAUACCCCGUGGAACUGACGGUACCUGCAGAAUAAGCACCGGCUAACUACGUG
RNAcentral lists this ribosomal RNA (484 nucleotides) under uncultured bacterium. RNAcentral describes it as "partial 16S ribosomal RNA". It matches the Rfam family "Bacterial small subunit ribosomal RNA", at positions 30 to 507 of the family's 1533-position model. The record is from RNAcentral.